Athalia rosae (coleseed sawfly) is the source of this 3037-nucleotide long non-coding RNA. RefSeq lists it as uncharacterized. The record is from RefSeq and is a predicted model, not a curated record. NCBI's taxonomy places the organism in Eukaryota, Metazoa, Arthropoda, Insecta, Hymenoptera, Athaliidae. The transcript has 3 exons.
AGUCGAUACGAUCUACGAUCGCUGUAAUAUCGCUGGAAGUAAUCAGUAUCGGACGAUGAGGCCACAGGAAGUCCCCGGUGCGGGUGUUGUCGAUGAAUUAUCGUUCUUCGAAAGACACCGGUCGAUCGGGUCGGUAUUGUACGCUCGAUGAUUAUUUCGACGAUCGGUCGAUCGAUGCGAAACGAGUGAUUCGUUUGCAAUUCCGGAUUUGAGACAGCGUAUUAGUAUUCCUUAGAACACUUAUGGUACCACGUGUAACGAUCAGUUUAUUCGGUGUUAUAGGUAUAUUUUCUAUUCGCGUAGCUACGUACCAUAUCAUUUGAGGAGCGCCCGUUCGCCGUUUUCGGAGAUGUUCUUCUUGCUCUUGCCCUGAAUCCCUCGCGGAGAAUGUUGAUCAUAGAUUAAACAAGGGAUAAAAUUAAUAACCUUCGGGUACGCAGGGUGCCCAAGGUUACCGUAAUAGCUCGAGUGUAAGCCUCGAGGGGGAAGUGACAAUGAAAAUCGUUUUAAGAGCGCCGAGCAGAAGGGGCGCGUAUGUGCCCGUGUAAUCUAAAGUCCCGAAAUUUUGUUUCCGAACUCGAUGCAUUUUUAAAGCGAUAAGGUCAUUUUCGGGUGGGUGUUGGUUCGCGAGUACCGUGGCCGAUACCAAAAAUCACCGAUGCAAAGUCUAGAGUCGUGUUGAAAAUGAAAUUUUGACCAUCUUCUCGAAGCGAGAAAUUCGAUCUCGGGAAAAAACACAUCUCGCGUCGUUGGCACGAAUACGCACGCGAUGAAAAGCUUUUACCGACAUGUUCGCUCCAUUUCUACGUGAACAUCUCGUCGUUUCAAACCCUCGCGGAAAGCUAUGGGAUCAAAUUCGCACUGCGAGGCGGCCCGAUGCAUUCCCAGGUUUUCCAUCUAGGCAUCAAUCGCAUUAUCGCCUUACGCCGAUGUCAGCCAUCGACGAAAGAAUAUCUGAUUAAGUAACCGAACACCCAAGGCGUACCCUAAGCCUGUACGAGGUAUGUAACGUGGCAGAGUUAUUCGUGAAAUGUUGUACAAUUCCUAGGUACGUACUGUGAGCAUACAUGUUUGAUAAACUUCCAGUUAAACCGAUUCAAUUGUGCAACGUUUGCUGGAAUACUCGUACCAAUCAGAAAUAGCUCGAGUGCCUUAUCUUGUUCGUACUGCACACAGGCGUAGAUAACGCGUUGUUUUCGACCAAUUUAAAAAAUUUCGCUCAACGCCUCGAUCAAACAACUUAUGAGAAGUGACGCAAUCAUUCAAAUUUACAGUUGUCCGAAUUUUCUGAUCGGUAUCAGGUAUUUCGCUCACAGAUUCCCAAGUGGUGGGGAUCAACCGCGGUAUCACCGAAUUCAACCAUCUGAAAAGCAACGAAAACCUGAACACUGACGACACGGGUGAACCGAGACUGCUGCACUAUAUUCGGAGAAUUAUUUGGGCUUCAUCGUACAAUCGAGCAUCGAUCGCCAUCUUACGCAUGCAGAAAUUCAUCUGAUUCACGGCCUGUUAAUCCUCGGAAUGGUUUUUCCGAGCUGAUUUCGAGGGGCAAGACAAAGCGACGCGAUACCGGUGUCCGUGUAGGUAUACCGUGUAGCAUUCGCAGCAUUACCGUGUCAUUCCCCGGAGUGCAGUGAAACAAGGCAGGUCAGAUAAUCUGCAGCUGUAUCCUUCCGGGGACGGAGCAGUGUGUAGCGCACGUUUCGAUCCCUUGUGGACGUCGUACGGUCAGACUCUAGUUAAUCCGACUCGUUAUGGCGUACAGCCAGAAGUUGCCUUGGUCGCAUUCCAUUAUAGCGCGAGGAUGGACCUUCGACCUGUACGGGAGAAUUGAAAGGGUGGUGGUGUCUGGCGGGACCCUGUUUGGGAUUUACGAGCGUAAAAAAGCUAAAUCGCCAGCAAAGCCGGAGUUCGGAAGCCAUGCACACUUGAUCGCGGUGGCAAAUGGUGCCGGUGACAAGAACCUCGCGGUUGACGUUGCGUAGGUGAUUUAUCAAGAUCGAUGCGGAAUAUGUUUGGUGAAAAUGACCGAACUUGAAACACAAUAGAAUCUAUGCAACGACAAGUGCAAGAUUGACAAACUCAAAUAACGCUUAUUCGAUCGGGAGUUCCUGUUUCGUGUCGGAAACUGACGAUGAGGUCGGUUGAGAUAUCAAGUCGAAUCGCCACACGUCUUUGAAGGUGCAGAUAGGCAUAUAACAUCAGGCAUACGUAUAAUAUUCAUGUUGCGUGGAUUCAAUAUCAGCUUCCAGGGGUCCACUUAUUAUACUGUAACUAAUGGCCAGCAAUAAGCUCGGAUCGUACGGGUGUCAACGUGUCGUAAAUCGAUGCAACAUUGCUGCUAAUCGAUCUCGUGGUGUGGCGUCGUUUACGCACCUACAACGCACCACGACGAUAUUUCACGAUGAAGUAUGGCUCGGUUACGCACGCAGUGGGCCACUGUAUUUUCAGGUAGCAAAUACCGAUGAUAUUAUCGUAAAACCAACUACGAUAAAUUAUCGCACCUUAGGAAAGAGCGGUCAGGCUGGGUUGUGCGUGUGCUGAAUUCGAUAUUAGCUAGUUGUGCGUCCGCGCAGCGUUCCUCUUACCAUCGACCCCAUCUUUGUUAUAUUCCUCUUUUUCUCGUCAGCUCUCGUCUCUUCCUAACUUUCCGUCGCAGACGACAAACAAGAAAAUCUUACACCUAUCUUCCAAUUUCCCUGAAUUAGACCACAUUGCGUGCAACACCCCGCGUGAGUGACGUACAAGGGCAUUCAGGUCAAGUGGAGUUCUUUAGAUUUCGGGGUCGAUACUCAAAAUUUUUUUUGUAUUCGGGUUCAUAGGCUAUUUUUGUGCAUUUCGAUUUCAGGAAUCCAAAUCUGGAAAAGAAUGUGGUCCAUUUGUGAAAUUAAUCGCCAAAUUUUUAAACUAAGAACUUGGCCGUUUGAAACACAUUAAUUAAUUUUAUCAUUAAUGAUUUCAGGUCUGAUGACUUGGUCAGGCACCUUUUCGCGAUGUGUAAUAACGGAAUGCGCGGAAAAAAAAGUAUUCUAAUUUU